RNAcentral lists this microRNA (26 nucleotides) under Pristionchus pacificus. RNAcentral describes it as "ppc-miR-84f-3p". Its record names the gene ppc-miR-84f-3p. The record is from miRBase by way of RNAcentral. Lineage: Eukaryota; Metazoa; Nematoda; Chromadorea; Rhabditida; Neodiplogasteridae.
AUUCUGUUCAUUUUUUCUACCUCACC